UUUUUACCGGUUUUUCAAAAAUUCGAUAAAAAUGCGUGAGAAACGUGAAUUUUUAUCGGACAUUUCUAAAAAACCGAUAAAAAUGUUUUUUUUUUCAAAAAUUGGGUAAAAUUGUAUAUUUAUUGGUCAUAAAAUUGGUAGUUUGAUUGAAAUAUCUGACAUAUUUGAGAGGUUUUCAAAAAUUCGAAAUGUGACAAUAGUAUAAUGAAAGAGAUUUUUAUAUUUUGCCAGAUUAAUAUGGUAAUACCAUAACAUGUGUGCGGGGCUCAAAU
RNAcentral lists this long non-coding RNA (272 nucleotides) under Lathyrus oleraceus (garden pea). RNAcentral's name for it is "Pisum sativum (pea) long non-coding RNA (PSAT_LNC017678)". The record is from RNAcentral. Lineage: Eukaryota; Viridiplantae; Streptophyta; Magnoliopsida; Fabales; Fabaceae.